RNAcentral lists this unclassified non-coding RNA (318 nucleotides) under Hevea brasiliensis (rubber tree). Lineage: Eukaryota; Viridiplantae; Streptophyta; Magnoliopsida; Malpighiales; Euphorbiaceae. The record is from RNAcentral.
GUUUUUUGACUCAAGAACUGAUUCUGCAGCUAGUUCAGCUUCUGCACGAGCUUGACCUUUUCCAAUUGCUUCAGCAACAAAUCUUGAGACAACUACUUCCUGAUAGAGCUGCUCAAUUGAAGCAUUAUCAAGCUGCAUAUCACCAAUGACAUCUGAAGGAGAAGGAAGUGUUAGCCCUGCCUGAGAUAGAACAGUACUGAUGUUCUGCCACUGGCAUCGCAUCAUAUUAAGAGCAUCUUCUGCUGUUUUUCUUCUUUCGAUUUCCUCAAGGAAUUUGAGCUUUGUGGUGCGCAGUUCCCAUUCAAUAUUAGGUCCACA